Molecule: ribosomal RNA, 549 nt
Filed under: uncultured bacterium
Lineage: Bacteria
Description: bacterial SSU rRNA
Rfam family: Bacterial small subunit ribosomal RNA
Source: RNAcentral
GUCGAGAAUAAUUCACAAUGGGGGCAACCCUGAUGGUGCAACGCCGCGUGGAGGAUGACGGUCUUCGGAUUGUAAACUCCUGUCAUCCGGGAGUAAGACCUGGGAGUUAAUAGCUCACAGGGUUGAUAGUACCGGAAGAGGAAGGGACGGCUAACUUCGCGCCAGCAGCCGCGGUAAUACGAAGGUCCCAAGCGUUGUUCGGAAUCACUGGGCGUAAAGGGAGCGUAGGCGGCGUGGUAAGUCAGAUGUGAAAUCCCGGGGCUCAACCCCGGAACUGCAUCCGAUACUGCCAUGCUAGAGGAUUGGAGAGGUAGCUGGAAUUCUUGGUGUAGCAGUGAAAUGCGUAGAGAUCAAGAGGAACACUCGUGGCGAAAGCGAGCUACUGGACAAUUCCUGACGCUGAGGCUCGAAGGCCAGGGUAGCGAAAGGGAUUAGAUACCCCUGUAGUCCUGGCAGUAAACGGUGCACGCUUGGUGUGAGGGGAAUCGACCCCCCUUGUGCCGGAGCUAACGCGUUAAGCGUGCCGCCUGGGAAGUACGGUCGCAAGAC